AUGCUCGCUUCAGCAGCACAUAUACUAAAAUUGGAAUGAUACAGCAAUUAGCAUGGCCCUUGCACAAUGAUGAUGCACAAAUUUGUGAAUUAUUCCAUAUAAAA
Molecule: small nuclear RNA, 104 nt
Filed under: Piliocolobus tephrosceles (Ugandan red Colobus)
Lineage: Eukaryota; Metazoa; Chordata; Mammalia; Primates; Cercopithecidae
Source: RNAcentral